GGGGAUGUAAUGGUUUCGACGGGAGUCUUGAAAAUAGGGAUAGCCAUCCGCAGGCCGGUUAACUGCGUCAUCAAGCCGGAAACUUUUUUAAAAAGAAAAGACAAUAAUAAAUUAGCAAUCGCUGCCUAAUUGCGGCAGCCGUCGGCCUCUGAUCUCUCGCUGUCAGAGUUACCGGCGUCGACUAGGCGGGGCACUUUUUCGCUUAAGCUUUGCGGCGUAAAAAGAUUCAUGAAGCUACCAAGGUACACAGCCUGUCAAUCGGGGGUGUAACGAGGGAAUGUUAAAAGACUGACUGUGAUGGGAGAAGUUCUUAUGGAUGGGUUUUCGGACAGGGGUUCAAAUCCCCUCAUCUCCAUAG
Molecule: transfer-messenger RNA, 358 nt
Filed under: Anaerotignum sp. MB30-C6
Lineage: Bacteria; Bacillati; Bacillota; Clostridia; Lachnospirales; Anaerotignaceae
Rfam family: transfer-messenger RNA
About the family: Bacterial tmRNA, also known as 10Sa RNA or SsrA, is named for its dual tRNA and mRNA-like properties. Its role is to liberate the mRNA from a stalled ribosome.
Source: RNAcentral